UACGGAGGAUCCAAGCGUUAUCCGGAUUCACUGGGUUUAAAGGGUGCGUAGGUGGAAUGACAAGUCAGUGGUGAAAACCUGCAGCUUAACUGUAGAACUGCCAUUGAUACUGUUAUUCUUGAGUACAUUUGAUGUGAGUGGAAUGUGUCGUGUAGCGGUGAAAUGCUUAGAUAUGACACAGAACACCAAUUGCGAAGGCAGCUCACAAAACUGUAACUGACACUGAGGCACGAAAGCGUGGGGAUCAAACAGGG
RNAcentral lists this ribosomal RNA (254 nucleotides) under uncultured bacterium. Its description in RNAcentral is "partial 16S ribosomal RNA". It matches the Rfam family "Bacterial small subunit ribosomal RNA", at positions 524 to 777 of the family's 1533-position model. The record is from RNAcentral.